CACGUAGGGGGCGAGCGUUGUCCGGAUUUAUUGGGCGUAAAGAGCUCGUAGGCGGCUCGGUAAGUCAACUGUGAAAGCUCCGGGCUCAACUCGGAGAGGCCAGUUGAUACUGCCGUGGCUAGAGUCCGGUAGGGGAGCGUGGAAUUCCUGGUGUAGCGGUGAAAUGCGCUGAUAUCAGGAGGAACACCAGCGGCGAAGGCGGCGCUCUGGGCCGGAACUGACGCUGAGGAGCGAAAGCGUGGGUAGCAAACAGG
Molecule: ribosomal RNA, 254 nt
Filed under: uncultured bacterium
Lineage: Bacteria
Description: partial 16S ribosomal RNA
Rfam family: Bacterial small subunit ribosomal RNA
Source: RNAcentral